RNAcentral lists this ribosomal RNA (1488 nucleotides) under Lactiplantibacillus plantarum. Its description in RNAcentral is "partial 16S ribosomal RNA". It matches the Rfam family "Bacterial small subunit ribosomal RNA". The record is from RNAcentral. Lineage: Bacteria; Bacillati; Bacillota; Bacilli; Lactobacillales; Lactobacillaceae.
GCUCAGGACGAACGCUGGCGGCGUGCCUAAUACAUGCAAGUCGAACGAACUCUGGUAUUGAUUGGUGCUUGCAUCAUGAUUUACAUUUGAGUGAGUGGCGAACUGGUGAGUAACACGUGGGAAACCUGCCCAGAAGCGGGGGAUAACACCUGGAAACAGAUGCUAAUACCGCAUAACAACUUGGACCGCAUGGUCCGAGCUUGAAAGAUGGCUUCGGCUAUCACUUUUGGAUGGUCCCGCGGCGUAUUAGCUAGAUGGUGGGGUAACGGCUCACCAUGGCAAUGAUACGUAGCCGACCUGAGAGGGUAAUCGGCCACAUUGGGACUGAGACACGGCCCAAACUCCUACGGGAGGCAGCAGUAGGGAAUCUUCCACAAUGGACGAAAGUCUGAUGGAGCAACGCCGCGUGAGUGAAGAAGGGUUUCGGCUCGUAAAACUCUGUUGUUAAAGAAGAACAUAUCUGAGAGUAACUGUUCAGGUAUUGACGGUAUUUAACCAGAAAGCCACGGCUAACUACGUGCCAGCAGCCGCGGUAAUACGUAGGUGGCAAGCGUUGUCCGGAUUUAUUGGGCGUAAAGCGAGCGCAGGCGGUUUUUUAAGUCUGAUGUGAAAGCCUUCGGCUCAACCGAAGAAGUGCAUCGGAAACUGGGAAACUUGAGUGCAGAAGAGGACAGUGGAACUCCAUGUGUAGCGGUGAAAUGCGUAGAUAUAUGGAAGAACACCAGUGGCGAAGGCGGCUGUCUGGUCUGUAACUGACGCUGAGGCUCGAAAGUAUGGGUAGCAAACAGGAUUAGAUACCCUGGUAGUCCAUACCGUAAACGAUGAAUGCUAAGUGUUGGAGGGUUUCCGCCCUUCAGUGCUGCAGCUAACGCAUUAAGCAUUCCGCCUGGGGAGUACGGCCGCAAGGCUGAAACUCAAAGGAAUUGACGGGGGCCCGCACAAGCGGUGGAGCAUGUGGUUUAAUUCGAAGCUACGCGAAGAACCUUACCAGGUCUUGACAUACUAUGCAAAUCUAAGAGAUUAGACGUUCCCUUCGGGGACAUGGAUACAGGUGGUGCAUGGUUGUCGUCAGCUCGUGUCGUGAGAUGUUGGGUUAAGUCCCGCAACGAGCGCAACCCUUAUUAUCAGUUGCCAGCAUUAAGUUGGGCACUCUGGUGAGACUGCCGGUGACAAACCGGAGGAAGGUGGGGAUGACGUCAAAUCAUCAUGCCCCUUAUGACCUGGGCUACACACGUGCUACAAUGGAUGGUACAACGAGUUGCGAACUCGCGAGAGUAAGCUAAUCUCUUAAAGCCAUUCUCAGUUCGGAUUGUAGGCUGCAACUCGCCUACAUGAAGUCGGAAUCGCUAGUAAUCGCGGAUCAGCAUGCCGCGGUGAAUACGUUCCCGGGCCUUGUACACACCGCCCGUCACACCAUGAGAGUUUGUAACACCCAAAGUCGGUGGGGUAACCUUUUAGGAAACAGCGCCUAAGGUGGGACAGAUGAUU